UAUUUUAAUAGCUUAUUAAAAAAAGUAUAAUAUUGAAGAUAUUAAGAAGGCUUAUGCCUUAAAAUAUU
RNAcentral lists this transfer RNA (68 nucleotides) under Cautires parallelus. RNAcentral describes it as "tRNA-Phe". The record is from RNAcentral. Lineage: Eukaryota; Metazoa; Arthropoda; Insecta; Coleoptera; Lycidae.